Non-coding RNA from Kogia breviceps (pygmy sperm whale), 1221 nucleotides. Lineage: Eukaryota; Metazoa; Chordata; Mammalia; Artiodactyla; Physeteridae. The record is from RefSeq and is a predicted model, not a curated record.
UGUCAAGACUCCCUGGUUACACCAUACCUUCUGAUGCUUUGAUUAUUGGUUAAGUGUCCAUUGGCGCUCGGUACUGAUCAGAGCCGAAUGGGAGAAAGUGGGCAUGGAUUGCCCCCUUUAAAAGUUUCAGAAAAGGCUCUGACGGUGCGAAGUGAGAUCUGCCCACUAGUUGCUGGAAGACAGAACUGUGAGACUGAGCCGGGGCUUUGAAAUGUUGAUAAAGUUUUUUGGUACUUGUGUCUGAAAUAAUAGAAUAAAGGCAGUAGAUGGUUUUACCCCUGCCUACAGCUCCAGCCUCGGUGCUCCUUGCCUCUCUGCCCUCAGCCAUUUUUGCUGUCUUUCAGUGUCCAGGAAGCUUCCUCCUGCAUUAGUAGGUCUAUACAUGCUGUUAUCUUUGCUGGACUCUCCUCCCAUCUCUUCAUCUAGGCCCGCUUAAGAUUGACUCUGAGAAGGCUCUCUCAGUUAACCUCGCCUGCCUCCAAGCCAGCCAGUCCACGGUGCUACUCUGAAAUUGGGGUGGCAGAAUCUUCUAGAACCAACCCCCUUCCCCAGUGUGGUGUCUAAUGUGCCUGGAUCUGAUUCUCAUCAUGGCCUGUUUGCAGAAGAAACCUCCUCUAAGACUUCAGCCACCUUACCUGGUCUUGGUGGAUGGGACCCUCAGAUAGUGGAAUGCAUCAUGGCCAAGUGGAGGUGUCCAGAGUCCCCUUGUGCCACCUGGAUUGGAAUAAGACAUUGCUCAGAAACCCUUCCAAAGAAUUGGGGAGUGUCCCUGAGCACCUCUCACUCCCAAAGGACAGUGCAUGUGCUCCCUGGUUCCCCAAGCCUAGCAGGGCAGCUCACCCCUCAUCCAGAGAACUGUGGAAUCCUAUCUGCUUCAAGGACUCUUUCCAAAAUGAUCUCCCAAGCAGCUCAUGCCUGAACUUGGAGUAGUGACAACUACAUCUCUCACACCCCACUCAUUUUGUUCUCUUCUUGUCCCUUCCUCCCAAGUAUAACGUCCUGAACUAGCAUUUCCUAGUAUGUAAAUAGCUUAUAAUCAGGGCUUGGUUUACCUAGUAUGUUCUUAGAGUAAUAAAGGUAAGUGUCAUGUGUAUAAGAGUCACACCCAAGCCCCCCUGAUUUUCUCUCCCCCCACACCGCCCCAGGGUCAUCCCAGACACUCCCAUGACUUCAGCUACCACUUAUCUGCAGAUGACCCAGUCUCUGUGUCCAGCCUACACU